GGACCUCAUGCAAUGCGGGUGUGUGAACCUUGUCAGGGUCGGAAGGCAGCAGCAAUAAGCAUUGCUUCGUGUGUGCCGUGAG
Molecule: signal recognition particle RNA, 82 nt
Filed under: bovine gut metagenome
Description: Bacterial small signal recognition particle RNA
Rfam family: Bacterial small signal recognition particle RNA
About the family: The signal recognition particle (SRP) is a universally conserved ribonucleoprotein involved in the co-translational targeting of proteins to membranes. Archaeal SRP consists of a 7S RNA and homologues of the eukaryotic SRP19 and SRP54 proteins. In most bacteria, the SRP consists of a 4.5S RNA and the Ffh protein (a homologue of the eukaryotic SRP54 protein).
Source: RNAcentral